Molecule: transfer RNA, 91 nt
Filed under: Pseudonocardia sp. HH130629-09
Lineage: Bacteria; Bacillati; Actinomycetota; Actinomycetes; Pseudonocardiales; Pseudonocardiaceae
Also listed under: 1 other name
Rfam family: tRNA
About the family: Transfer RNA (tRNA) molecules are approximately 80 nucleotides in length.
Source: Rfam by way of RNAcentral
GGAGGCUUCGCCUAGUCUGGUCUAUGGCGCCGCACUGCUAAUGCGGUUUGGGGUAACCCCCCCAUCCCGGGUUCAAAUCCCGGAGCCUCCG